AUUGAACGCUGGCGGCAGGCCUAACACAUGCAAGUCGAGCGGAUGAAGGGAGCUUGCUCCUGGAUUCAGCGGCGGACGGGUGAGUAAUGCCUAGGAAUCUGCCUGGUAGUGGGGGAUAACGUCCGGAAACGGGCGCUAAUACCGCAUACGUCCUGAGGGAGAAAGUGGGGGAUCUUCGGACCUCACGCUAUCAGAUGAGCCUAGGUCGGAUUAGCUAGUUGGUGGGGUAAAGGCCUACCAAGGCGACGAUCCGUAACUGGCCUGAGAGGAUGAUCAGUCACACUGGAACUGAGACACGGUCCAGACUCCUACGGGAGGCAGCAGUGGGGAAUAUUGGACGAUGGGCGAAAGCCUGAUCCAGCCAUGCCGCGUGUGUGAAGAAGGUCUUCGGAUUGUAAAGCACUUUAAGUUGGGAGGAAGGGCAGUAAGUUAAUACCUUGCUGUUUUGACGUUACCAACAGAAUAAGCACCGGCUAACUUCGUG
This 484-nucleotide ribosomal RNA is filed under the name uncultured bacterium. RNAcentral describes it as "partial 16S ribosomal RNA". It matches the Rfam family "Bacterial small subunit ribosomal RNA", at positions 30 to 507 of the family's 1533-position model. The record is from RNAcentral.